CUGAUAACGUCCCUUUGCUUUCACAGGAAUUGGCUGUCUUUUUAAAGCCUGACCUCCUGCAAUUGUGUGGGUUUUCAUUUUUUCCCGGUGCUUUUAGAGAGGAGUGCCUAGCUCGCCUGGUGGCAGGUCGAGGCUCUGACCUUAAGCCUUCAAAAUAAAAAGCACCAAAUUUCUCCAGUUUCCAAAGUGUCCUUGAGGGACUGAGUGUUUGCUGCACCAGCUGGGGACCGGGGGAACAGCCAAGCUCCAGCAGAGACGGAGGAGAAUUUGUGCCUUUAAGCUGCUUGGGGCUGCAUUUAAUGGCACUGCCACCUUGCCAGAGCUGGUGUCCUUGCUACGCGGGCACGUUGCAAAUCACACUCGUCCUGCCUGAUCUUGGCAGCAAGGAGGGCCCAGCGCAGAGGAGAGGGCUUCAGGCUGAAAUGGUUUCAAAGAGCUCACUGUCGGGUGGCUCGGAGGCUCUGAUAGCGCACCUGGAUCAGAAAAGCAUCUUAAAUAAAGACAUACGAGAGGAGUUGUUGGGGAGAAGCAGCAAGGAAAGGAGAGAGAAAGGAAGCUGAUGCUUUCCUGCAGGCAGCCUUCCUCCAGGCAGCGAAGCUCUAGCUAAUUAAUUAUGUGGGGAUGCAGAGAGCCGUGAACGGAGGCUUGCACUCUUUUAAAGCUGAAGACCCAGAUGUGGACCGCUGCCCCGUGGGACUGUCCCCAGCAGAUUUGGGGGGCAGGAGGUUGUCACCGAGCCAGGACAGGCAGCGAGGACCAGCACUGGGGAGGCUCAGCAUCUCCCCCGCUGCUUCCCCACUGUAUGGGGUGAGCACGAGAAGAGCCCCGAGCAAAGGCAACCUGCAAAGGACAGGUCAGCGCGCUGGAGCAGAAGGGAAUGGUGCUUCCAGCAGUGCAAUGGCACCACCCCAGCAAUGUCACCUCUCCGGUCCUUGCUGGGCUCACACCAAUUAUUCCCCUCUGCUCAGCUAUUGCUGACCAGCUCGGCUGCCCCCGCUGUCCCCUUGCUGGUGGCAGGACCAUGGAUCCUGAGCAGUUUGGUCCCUGGGGGAGCGACCAAGUUUCAGCACAGCUGCUGCAGCCCCCACAACUCCCAUCUGCUGCUUCUCACGUGCCAGCAGCAUGUAGGUACGGGGACAAUCCCUCUUCCACAGAUGUGGUUACAGCUAAACACAGAAAACAGCCCGACCUCCUGCAGCAGCCCCAGAAACCUGCUGGCCCCUUCUCCAGCAGCCCCUCUGCUUGGCCAUGGAGGAGCGCGUGGUCUCACGUGGUGCUGCCCCAGUCCUGCUCCCUUCCCAUCCCUGGGGGAUGCCGUGAAGCCCUGUUGCUCCAGGUGCUGUGGUUAUGCCCGGUGCUGCUGUUUGGUGCCAGCUGGAGGUGCUGGCCCGCACGGCAAGAGCUCCUGAACGCAGCCGAGCGAUCGGUGCUGUGUAUGGAGCGAGGCAGGAGGAACAGGGCGCUGUAGCCUUUCAGCCUGAGGUUACAAGGAAACAGGGAUCAAAUCCUGUUUGUUUUCUUGAGUUGAUUUUAUCCAUGGCCAUCACCAGCCCUGACUGCAGUGGAUACGAAGAGGAUGUAGGAUGGUGCCUCCUCCAGGAGCUCCGCUCCACAUCCAGCAUCCCAAAGCAGCGCUGCCUCGAGGUCUGGUGCUCUGGGGAUGUGCUGUGCUGCUCUUUGCUCUGCCUCCUCCUGCCCAGAGCAGCUCCUGGCCACCUCUUCCCUUCUCAGCACUUCCUUGUGGGCCAAGAAGAUGGCACGAUAACAUCCUAGUUCUAUCGUUGUGGCUGCAUGAUGGGGAGAAGUCAGCGUGGACCUGGACACUCCAUGCUCUAAUAGCCAAAAUCUUCAGGCGGGGACAAGGUAACUGAGCAGCACCAGGGCAGCUGCACUGCGCACUGGAUAAACUGGAGUAACUUCCCAAAGGACUGCAAAGGAACACGCUGUUUAGGCCAGCAAAAGAACCGUCACCGUUUGGAGAGAAGGCUUACAGCUGUUUGUCAAACACACAUGGAAGAGAAAACCAAAACCUAAUAUAAAUCACUUAAAUUCCCAGCUGUGCAAAGACCAGCAGUUGCAUAACAUCUGCUCUCAUUCCUCUGGGGUAUUUUGUACCGGAGGCAUUUUGCUUGGCCCACACAUCUGAUUUUUCUUGGCCUGUGCAUCUGUUUUUGAGCAUGGUCCGCAGUAGCUUUGGAAGCCCUGAUGGUGCAUCUGGUGUGAGCACACAGGGAUCUUUUAGAGCCGUGUGAGGUGGGAAUAUAUCCCCGUGCUGCUUGGGGAAGGCCUUUUAGCAGAGGAGACCGGCCGUGUGAGGGUGAGCUGUGCUCAGCCUGAGCCCUGGUGCUGCUUUUAGCAGAGGCAGGAUGGGCCCCUCGUGCUGUCCCGGCUCUCCGUGGCUCCUGCCUGUCGCGCUGACUCCGUGCCCUGGCACUGGCCAGCACGGGCUGGUACGGAAGAGAAGAAUGGAAAAUGCAUGGGUGGUGGGGGACAGCCUCCAGGGCAGGGCGUCUGUGCUCAGUUCUUGGGCUCUGAGUCCUCAGGAUCAGGGCUGCCACGGGCAGGAUGGCCCUCAGGGCUCGGGCUGUAAAUCCUUCGUGUGCAGCUGCUCAGCUGGUGGGUUGAGGAGGGGAGAUACAGAAAACUGAUUUUUAUUAUUCCCCCCUGCUCCCCUUUGCCUCUCCUUGCUUCUUACCCAGCAGUUCCUCUAACUCUGCUCCCUCCCACAGCUGGAAGUAUGUGCCUGGGGUUCAGCAGGCGUAGAAAGGAGUUUUUGUGCGAGAUGAGGAGGCAGAUCCUGGGAGUUACUGUGUGGGACUCCCUUACGCCUCGUUUCCUUGCCUUCUUCACAUAAGGACAAUUCUUAUUCUAGGACACGUGUAUAUAUUUCCUAGAAUAAUAUAUAUAUGUAUGUAUUUUUUCCCUAGAACUGGAGGUGCUCAUCCCUUCCUCAUCUAAAAGACUAAAAUAAGCGUCAUCCUAUUCCCUGGUGAUUUCCUGGUUCCUCUGAACAUUUCCAAGCAGCUCAGCAAUUAGUCACUGAAAACUUUCCACUUCCACAAGCUACCUGGGGCAGUGCAGUGCUAAAUAAGUGUGCGGCUCAGCUACUGCAGGCAAAAUUGACUGCUGGAGGGCAGGCAGGCUGCUCCCCAGAGCUGGGCUGCUGGGAUAACAGCAGCACGAGGGAUGGAUUUUGGGGUGCCACGUGCUCCCCAAUGCAAGGAGCUGUUUUGGGCAUGCAGGGUGUGAAUUGCAGCUGCGUGGACUGCCCCGUGUAGGCUGGGCGAUGCAGAAAAGAGGCAGGGAUGGCUGCUAGCACCGAUCCCGCUGCUCACUGGCCUGCUGCUGACCCUGGGGCUUCACGCGGAUGAGUUAGGAGAGGUGCAAGCUCAGCACCUUCUGUCAUUUUCCUUCUUAGCGUGCAAGCACUCAGGUGUUUGUCAGGAGGAGGAAUUAAAAUAAGAUACUUAAGUCUGGAGACCUUUAGAGGUUACAGUCAUAAGGUCCUUUGCAUGCAGUGCAGGGGGUUUGGCCCAAAAGGUUCUGUGGCUGCUCGGGGAGAGGCCUGCUGGUCCCAGUGGUGAUGGGGUGAUGCUGGUUCUCGUCCUGCCUCUGGCCCUGCUGGCUAACCCACUGAGCUGUGUUCAGGCUCCUGGGGCUGAAAGGGGGGUGUUGGGAGCCCUCCUCUUGGGCUCUUUGGCAUAGACCUGGAUGCUGGCAGAGGGAUAGGAGCCUGGAAGAGCAGGGAAAGCAGCGGGGUGACUGCGGGAAGGACUCGUCCUAGGAGAUUGCUGGGGGGGGAAAUCAAGGCUGGAGGAGGUCAGCAGCCAGCUGCUGGGGCUGGCUCUGCCCCGUGUGGAUCCAGAUGUGACUGAGCUGCCACAUGGCCGUUCUCAACGCAAAUGCUUCUGGUGGACAGAAACGGUGUCCCCGCCUGUCCGCAGCUCAGCCUCUCUAAUUUUAGCUUUUUUUCAUUCUCUCGGGGUCUGGCUGCACGUAUAUCCUGUGCACAGGGUAUGAUGCAAGCGUAGCCACAUCAAUUCCCCAUGGCUGGAGAAAAGCUCACCGCUGCUGUAACCUGUUUUAGUACUUAGAGACACGGAUCCCACAGAUCCCCCAGGCCUUUCCCCAACCUGGGCAAGGUGAGGCUGUGGCUGAACCAAAGUACUGAGGCUAGCAAGCAAUGCAAGCUCAGUUUUUAUAGCUUUCUUUCUUUUUUUCUCAGAGGACACCACUACUCUUUCCUGGACGUUGCUGAUCUUGCUGCCUCCAAGGUGGAUGCGGUCACUGUGGGCACUUCGGGGUGGGGAGAAAGAGGGCCUGGGAUUUGUUGUCCUGGAUAAAAUGAGUUAUUUCAGCAAGCCAAAGCUGUGUGGAGGAUGGGGAGGAAAGUAACAGGUGCUCAGAGUGGAGCUGAAGGCACAUUUUUCUCCGUGGUGCUAAAAUGGUUAAUUAACAUAAUCAUCACAGAGCUCCCAGUUAAGCCAUCCGUUGCUUAGCAAACAGUUUGGGAUGUAAAUGUAGUAAAUAUUUGAUGAUGCCGUGAGAUGACGAUAAAGGCCCAGCAACCAACUGGUUCGCAGCAGCACCUUCUCCUCUCCCCUAGCUCGGGCUGCUGCUCGUUUCUCCCUCCCCUUGCUCCCAAGCACCAGUCUCCAGGCUUACGCUUUUGUCAUCUGUCUUUCUGGCUGCUGCCAGGCACGGGUUUCUGCACAACCCCUGGCUGUUGGCAUGCUGAUCCUCUUAGCAAUGCCGGCCCAGCUCCUAAGCAGGCUGUGCUGGAUGUCUCGCGCUCUGCUUCCACCCCCCAGUUUCCCAAGUGACAGCUUCAGGGCUGUGCCAUCCCCAAAGGCCUCCGCGUGCUGCUAUGGCAUACGUGGACAAAGUCUAGCACUGUCCUUCGUGAUGCUUUGUGCAUCAUGCAAAUUAAUUACGGUUGUAAUUACCCCGUAGGACCUUUCCAGUUGGCUGAUUCCAGUUAAAGCAUUCUCCAUCUCUCCUUCUGAGUUAGCACAAGCCCCUAUUCUUACAGGGGGCAGCCAGCCCCGCAGCUGGGCUUUGUUUUGGGUCUGUUUUUGCCUCCAGUCCUGGGUGUGCUCAAAGGUGGAGUCUAUUCCCAGCAUCAGUCCAUCAUCUGGAGCUGGUUACGCUGUGUUUGGACUGCCAGGACGGAGCAGGGAGCCUGGCCUGCAGCAGAGAGGUGUUCUUAUUGCCGGGAGCCAGUGCUGACUCACGAACCUGACAGCGGGGACAGCGUGGGGCUGAAAACCACAGUCCUGUGUUGUUGGAUACUCCCGAUACUCAUUUGUAGUUCUGCUGUUCCUCAGCCGACAUCCUGCCCCUGGAGCGCUGCCCAGUCCCCUUGUGAGCCAUGGGAAGACGUCACCCAGAAAUGUGAAUUUCUGAGGCCUCAAAGGCUGCACUGUUUACCCGGCUGACAGCUCCAGCUCCAUCCCCUGCCCCACUUUAAUAUCACCGUUGUGUUCCACAGAACAAGGCCCAGCAGCCAGCUACUAAUGCUUCCUGUCCACUGAGAAACUGGGGCUAAAAAAACAACAAAAAAACAGCUGCAACAUCCCCGGGGGCUGGUUAGCGUUCCCUGCCAGGCCUCUGUCCUGCAGCUGAAGUUGUGUAAACUUUAAAUCCUGACAUAAUGGACGGGGAGCGACGGUGGGCAGAGGCACUGCAGCUGGACUGCAUGCCUGGACUGACAGUCAGCUGGCUCAAGCAAACGUGGAGCUGUAAGGUCCCUAUAGCGUGACACAUCAGAGGGGUGGCUGUAUUUGGGUCCAAAAAUUUUUCCCUACACGUUGACAAAUCAGUUCCGUUUAUUCCUGGGCUGCUGCUCUGGAACAGGACUUCAUUCGGUUAUUUGCUUGCCGCGUGUUGACUCAAAAUAUUAAGAUAAGCAUUAAAAAAAAAAAAAAGCCCCAAAUAUACACAGCUACUAACUGGCCAGCCUUACAAUAGACAUGACAUAGAACUAGUGCAAAUGUAGGAACAGUUACUUCAAAACAAGCUACAAGAGUGAAUGCUUACAUUUCUCUAACAAACCCAUUUUUGCUGUUUGAACCUUGGCAUUCAUUUUUUCUCUCCUCCCCAAUUUUCCCUGCUUUUAUGGCUGAUCGGAGAAAUCUCCAGAAGUAAUAAGGUGACUUAGAAGCUGAAGAUCCCCUCGGGCUCAGGCUUGGACAACGAGAGCUUUUGGGAAAGGCUUUCAGCAUCCUCAGCUUAGCAAUGCAUUAUUUCGGAUUUACCCCUUUCUAACUAGCGCGCCUGCUAACUCUGCCUGCGACUGCUCGGAGAUGAAAGCGACAUCAGAACUCUGUCCAUGUUGUGUUCCGCCCGCAGCAAGUUUUCUGGGGUACCGCUUUGCCAUAACACCCCAAUUUCACCCGCCUGGUGCUGAGGACAGAUCUGAGCUCCCUGCCUCUCCUUCUCUGCUUUCAACUUUCCCUGGCCAGGACAGCAGCCGGGAGCAGCAGAUCUGCGAUUUCCAUGGAGGUGCUGCCGCAGGACGAGGCGCUGGGUUUGCCAAGCAAGCCCUGCUGGCUGCCCCCAGCAUCCUUACCCUGCUCCAGGUCCUGCUGGUCGUACCAGGGCUCCUCUUCCUCGCUCUGAAACUCCUCCAUCCUGUCGGCGCUCAGCAUUUAGCACCCGGGGAGCUCGAGCAGCAUCCGCGGACGGGGAGACCCCGCCGCAGCCCCCCAAAACCGCGGAGAAGGGUCGGAGGCAGGGAUGGAGGCAGGGAUAGAGGAUGAAGGAUGGAGGCAAGGAUGCGGCCUCGGUGCCCGGCCCGGGAAAGGGUGGCACGACGUGGCAGCCGGCUCCUGGCCGCUGUCCCCUCUCUGCCUGCCCCGGGGGGAGGCUUCCUCCAGCCUCCGAGGCCGGGGGAGGCUCCGGGAGGGGGGGAUU
Molecule: non-coding RNA, 6915 nt
Organism: Anas platyrhynchos (mallard)
Lineage: Eukaryota; Metazoa; Chordata; Aves; Anseriformes; Anatidae
Source: RefSeq, a predicted model, not a curated record